UUUGCGCGUUCUACAUGGUCAGUCAUCCAAAUAACGUCAAAUUUGUAUCCGCCCACAAGUGUUGCCAAUAUUUUUGGUCAUUGGUUGGACGGUAUUUCAAAUAGGUUCAAAACGCUAAUAAGGGUGGGAGCGUACGCCUUACUAUGGUCGCUUUGGCUAUGUAGAAACGCUUUGGUUUUUAAUGACAAAAAUGCUUCUCCUUUGCAGGUUAUUUUCCGUUGUACGCACUCGCUUCGUAUGUGGUCUAUACUACAACGUGCGGAGUACCAACCGCUAUUCAAGGCGGUGUGUACGCGAUUGGAGCAGGUGGCUAUGGAGUUUUUUACCCAACAUGGGUGGCAGCAUAAUCUCCGCAUCGGUCCACCAACCGUUUCGACAUAG
RNAcentral lists this ribosomal RNA (381 nucleotides) under Triticum aestivum (bread wheat). Its description in RNAcentral is "partial small subunit ribosomal RNA". Lineage: Eukaryota; Viridiplantae; Streptophyta; Magnoliopsida; Poales; Poaceae. The record is from RNAcentral.